UCGGGAAUUUUGCCCAAUGGACGAAAGUCUGAGGCAGCAACUCCGCGUGAGGGACGAAGGCUCUCGGGUCGUAAACCUCUUUUCUCAGGGAAGAUCCAAGACGGUACCUGAGGAAUAAGCCACGGCUAACUACGUGCCAGCAGCCGCGGUAAUACGUAGGUGGCAAGCGUUGUCCGGAUUUACUGGGCGUAAAGAGCGCGCAGGCGGCUGGUCAAGUCCGAUGUGAAAUCUCCCGGCUCAACUGGGAAACUGCAUCGGAAACUGAUCGGCUUGAAGGUGGGAGAGGGUAGUGGAAUUCCCGGUGUAGUGGUGAAAUGCGUAGAUAUCGGGAGGAACACCAGUGGCGAAGGCGACUACCUGGCCCACUCUUGACGCUGAGGCGCGAAAGCUAGGGGAGCGAACGGGAUUAGAUACCCCGGUAGUCCUAGCCGUAAACGAUGAACACUAGGCGUAGUCGGUAUCGACCCCGGCUGUGCCGUAGCCAACGCAUUAAGUGUUCCGCCUGGGGAUACGG
RNAcentral lists this ribosomal RNA (514 nucleotides) under uncultured bacterium. RNAcentral describes it as "bacterial SSU rRNA". It matches the Rfam family "Bacterial small subunit ribosomal RNA", at positions 355 to 885 of the family's 1533-position model. The record is from RNAcentral.